AUCCAGCUGACAAGUCUCAAAUAGGUCGAAACACACGUUCUGGAU
Schistosoma curassoni is the source of this 45-nucleotide non-coding RNA. The record is from Rfam. Lineage: Eukaryota; Metazoa; Platyhelminthes; Trematoda; Strigeidida; Schistosomatidae.